Molecule: long non-coding RNA, 1175 nt
Filed under: Olea europaea subsp. europaea
Lineage: Eukaryota; Viridiplantae; Streptophyta; Magnoliopsida; Lamiales; Oleaceae
Source: RNAcentral
AUAGAAACAUCUACUCUACGAGACUACGUCCCCCAAAACCACCCCCAACGCUAAACCUAAAUCCCACCCACGCAGCGCCGACCAUCAUCUGCCUACCUUAGCCACACCUAGAACCACCGCCACCGCUGCAAUGCUGUUCUGAUUAAACACAUUAGAAAAAUUAGCUGAAAGAUUCGAAUAAAUCGAAAUGACUUUCCGGUAUUAAACCCACAUUUUCGCCAUAUUCCCAUGAUUGUUCGACUGGUGAUUCUUGUUAACUUGCUGAAUCAUAACCAAAUUCCUGUCCAACAAUGAUUGUACUUCUUGGAAAUUUUCAGUGAAGGCGGUAGAAGAGGCAGUCAAGAGGCUUCCCGAAAUCAAAGAGGCGGGGGUGGAUGUAUUGAAUGACAGAGCCGUAGUCAUGUUUUGUCCUGCUUUUGUUAGUGUAAUUUGAAGCUCAGUUUUUCCUUCUGGAUGGUGAUUUUAUUUGAUUUGUGCGCAGAACUUUUUUUUUUUUAUUUUAUUAAACGGGGCUGUGUGCUUUUGCUUUAAAUUUUAAGUGGUUUUAAUUGAUUAACUUACAGAUGAUCUAUGAAGAAUUACUGAUGUUGCUCUCUAUUUGUUCGUUGUUGCAUUCUUGGAGUUGAAUAUUUUCCAUUUUUCUUUUAGAUUUGAUUUUUGGAUCUCACUGGAAUUUUUUCUGAUCCUCCGCUGCUCCUUCGAAAUUGGACAAUAGUGGGUUGGGUGAGUUACGGCGAUGGUGGGAGUAGCAGUUGUCGCGGUUUUCCAUUAUUGAUUUGGCUGCGGUGGUGGAGAAUCUGGGGGUUAAAUGUGGGGAUAAGGGAGUAAAUUGUAGAUGGAUGAUUGGGAUAUUUGGCUGAUAUUUCUUGGCAAAAGAAUAGAUGAAGUGAAUCAAGUGAUGAUUUUGAGGUGGUGUGUGGGUGGCCGAUGGUGAGUGGAUUUUCUGGUUUGAUUUUUUGGGUGGAGUUGGGGUGGUGUGGGUUGUUUGAGGGAAGGAAGCUUUCAGUUUUAUUAUUUUAUAUUUAAAUUGUUUUAUAAGGUUUUAAUACAGCUAAUGAAUUUUAUAAUGUUCGUGUAGAGUAUAGAUUGGAAGGAUCAGUGUCAAUAAAAUGUGAUGUUUAUAGCUACGGUAUUAUGUUAAUGGAAGUAUUUACAUGAAUGAAACCAAGCAAUGA